AACUUAAGCUGAGUAUAGUUGGGAAAGACAUUGCAAUAUGAGUUAGUAAAACCUAUUAGUAUGUUCAAAGAAAAAGAAGAAACUUCCAGAGCAUGUGCAACUAAUGACAUUCCGUUGCCUUUUCAUGUGGGAAAUAGCAAUGAAGAUGAAGAUGCUAAUCAAUAUAUUCUGAAUGGUAUAUCACUAUCAAACUUAGCAGCACAUGAUGAAAAAAAAGUAGCUCGAUCAUUUACUUCAUCUUUUCCAUAUUUUGUAAGGAUCAUGAAGAGCUUCAACGUUAGUGGUUCAUAUACUCUGUGGUGGGUUGCUACAUUCCCUAGUUCUUAAUUUGAGAAGGUUUUUAGUGAAAUGUAUUAUAAAUUGAGUUUUUAACAAUUACAAAUAUUACUUCCUCUAACCAUACGCAUGCAAAUAUAUACAUGUGGAUGUAAGUUACACACAUAAAACUUUUCUUGAUACUGAUUUCUGGUGGGAAUAAUGCAGAAUAUCCCGUAUCAGUUUUCGGUGGCACAUCUCCCAAACUGCAAGAUAAAGAUUAUCCUCUAUAAUUUGAAAGGAGAACAUUGAACUGUUAAUUCUGUGCCAUCAACAUGAGUGCAUACAAGUCACACUCUCUGUGGAGGAUGGAUGGCCUUUGUGCGUGGCAAUAACAUAAAGGUUGGAGACGUCUGCAUUUUUGAACUUGUGCAUGAGUGUGAAUUACUUGUUCGGAUUGCUAGAGGUGGAAAAGAUCUACAAGACCCGAUUGCGAAACCAGAU
Molecule: non-coding RNA, 759 nt
Organism: Arachis ipaensis
Lineage: Eukaryota; Viridiplantae; Streptophyta; Magnoliopsida; Fabales; Fabaceae
Source: RefSeq, a predicted model, not a curated record